This 228-nucleotide ribosomal RNA is filed under the name uncultured bacterium. RNAcentral describes it as "partial 16S ribosomal RNA". It matches the Rfam family "Bacterial small subunit ribosomal RNA", at positions 14 to 230 of the family's 1533-position model. The record is from RNAcentral.
UGAUCAUGGCUCAGGAUGAACGCUAGCUACAGGCUUAACACAUGCAAGUCGGAGGGGCAGCAUGGUCUUAGCUUGCUAAGGCUGAUGGCGACCGGCGCACGGGUGAGUAACACGUAUCCAACCUGCCGUCUACUCUUGGCCAGCCUUCUGAAAGGAAGAUUAAUCCAGGAUGGCAUCAUGAGUUCACAUGUCCGCAUGAUUAAAGGUAUUUUCCGGUAGACGAUGGGG